Molecule: ribosomal RNA, 434 nt
Filed under: uncultured bacterium
Lineage: Bacteria
Description: bacterial SSU rRNA
Rfam family: Bacterial small subunit ribosomal RNA
Source: RNAcentral
AACGAACGCUGGCGGCAGGCCUAACACAUGCAAGUCGAGCGCUGUAGCAAUACAGAGCGGCGCACGGGUGAGUAACACGUGGGAACGUGCCCUUUGGUUCGGAAUAACUCAGGGAAACUUGAGCUAAUACCGGAUGAGCCCUAACGGGGAAAGAUUUAUCGCCGAAGGAGCGGCCCGCGUUGGAUUAGCUAGUUGGUGGGGUAAAAGCCUACCAAGGCGACGAUCCAUAGCUGGUUUGAGAGAACGACCAGCCACACUGGGACUGAGACACGGCCCAGACUCCUACGGGAGGCAGCAGUGGGGAAUCUUGGACAAUGGGGGAAACCCUGAUCCAGCCAUGCCGCGUGAGUGAUGAAGGCCCUAGGGUUGUAAAACUCUUUCGGCGGGGACGAUAAUGACGGUACCCGCAGAAGAAGCUCCGGCUAACUUCGUGC